UCUAUGUGCUGUCCGUUUGUGCCCCCCCAUCCCCGUGGCUGCCCCCCUGUCCGGCCCGGUGACAAAUCAAUACAUAAUUAAAUAAUAAAACAGACAAAGGAGUAUAUUAAUACUCUCUUGUUAAAGUCAUUUUGACAAAUCUAUGUGUUUUAAAAGUCAUGUUAAAUCUGUGGUUCGUUCCUGUUUUUUCCAUCUCAUUGCUAAGAGUAGAUCUGUGGUUUCUAAAGUAGAGAUGGAAAUGCUUGUUAACAUUGUCAUAUUAUUCAGGGUCUUGUCUCCUCUGGUGUUACAGGUAACGUACUGUUUGAAGUUGCUCAGUGUCCUUGAGAUUUUGGCGUGGUUAAAAUCUCCGUUAAUGAUAAGGAGAGUGUUUGGACACUUUAAUUUAAGGUGCUUGUAAGUAGUAAUAAACAGUUAAUAAGCAGUAAUUAAAAAUAAAAUAAAAUAAAACACUUAAAAUGCUUAUAAACACAAAUAAGUCCAUAUAUGUGUUAAGUAAAGCACAAUUAACUCUUUCAUAAUUUUCUUAUAAGACACUUAUAGACUGCUAUUAGAAACGUGUCGAUGGUUUAUAUACCUGUUAAUAAACAUUAAUAAGAUGUUUAUUAACAUUAAUGACUUUAUAAGGGUUGUUUAAUAAGAAAUUAAGAGAUUUGUUAUUUCCUUGAAAGACACUUUUUGUUAACUUAAAAAAAAUCUUAUUGUUUAAAGGCAGCUUAUAAAAUGCAUUUUUAUUAAGAUUGAUGUAUGAAUGAACACAUUUAUUAUUUAGCACACUUAUGAGCACUUACUAGAAAGUAAAAGUAAGUAAGUGAAAGUUGUUUAUUAAAAUUAAUGACUGUUAAUAAUAUCCCAAAACACAUUUAUUAUUGGCUUGUAAGAUAUUUAUGAGCUCCACCCAAACAGAAAUUUGGCCUAGAGUUGAGUCAGAGUAGGGAUCCCUCUUUAUUAAAACUUUGUUAAGACUGCACCAAAUUCCAAGUAGGAGUAAAUGUUAUGUAAUUAAAUCUGUGAUAUUAACAAUAAAAUGUUAAUAUGUUGAAAUGUUAAAAUGUUAAUACAGAAUAUGUUUAGAAUAUAUCUAGUUUAGAAUUAAUAUGCCUUUGUUAAACAUAUGACAUUGUGCACUUGUGCAUUUUUUUUUCUUUACAAAAUGCAUGAAGUACAGCCAAUCUUCACACACACACACACACACACACACACACACACACACACACACACACACACACACACACACACACACACACACACACACACACACACACACACCUAUAUACUCAGUAGCGGGAGGAGCCCCGGAGGAGCCUCAAUGAGUCCAACUUCCCUUCCAGUUCUGUUGGUCAGGAAACCCAUUGCAGUUCAAAGGAGGAACAUGCGGAUCAGGUUUAAGUCUCUUUCUCAGAUCAAUGAAGAAUUCCGGAGGAUCAGACUGAAGCCACUUCAGUCCACAUUCCCUGGGAAGUUGGACAAACACAGGUAGUUUGGAAGGGAGGAGCUGCUGGGAAGAAAUUUGACCCUGGACAUCAUAAACGAGACAUCUGUACUUAUAUGUGAUGACAACGAUGCUUCAGCCAUCCAAGAAGUCCUCCCUUCAUUUAUACUCAACAUCUUUGUGGACAAGAAAAAUCAGGGACGGGGUCUUAAGGAGCAAGCUGGAAUAGCCCAUCGUGGCAGCAGCGGCCCUUUUUGGGAUUCCCAUUGUAGCACAGGCUUGCACCUACCUAAUGGGCUACCUUAUGGCUUUAGAACUAAACUAUCCAAAGAAACUGAAAUACACCUUUUAAGGUUUUUCAGAAGAUCUUCCUGGAGCUGCAGGAUGGGAACCAAAAAUGUUCCCCAAAGUCCACGAUGUCAAGGUCAGCUUGCUGGCCUGAAAGCCAUACGGACAUUGUUGAAGGUGGAGGAUUGAAAAACAAUUCUGUACAAUGUAAUUUUUUUUUUAUUGAAAAAAUCUAUUAUACAAAAUGUUUUCAGUUAAUGUUAAAGAAAACAUACUUGUAAUUGCACUUUUUUUUUCAAACUUGUGUUUGGCCUGGGUUUAAUAUAAUGUAAUUUUUGUUGCUGCGUUUAGAUGAAAGUUAUGAAACAUGAAAGUUAUGAAAUGUAAAAAAAAUAACAUUUCCACAACAGAUGUCUUAGAGUAUGAUUUUGUUUCACAACUACACUAUUUAAAAUAUUCUGUUAUAUUUUCUUUUUUAUUUAUUAUACUUUUCUUCUAUUAUUAGUUAUUUUUAUUAGCAUUUACUCAUCUUAAUAAGAUCACUGUUCCCAUUUUAGUUCAGGUAGCUGACAAGGAGGAUUUUUAAUGAUUAAUAAGUGCAUAAUAAAGGAUUCCAUCCAUCCA
Molecule: long non-coding RNA, 2344 nt
Organism: Micropterus salmoides (largemouth bass)
Lineage: Eukaryota; Metazoa; Chordata; Actinopteri; Centrarchiformes; Centrarchidae
Exons: 3
Source: RefSeq, a predicted model, not a curated record